UGAGCUGGUUCACUACAGUUUCCUAGGGUGCCUGAGAGCACAGUUUGGGAACCAUGGCACUAAGGGUCAAGUCCCAAUGUUAACUGUCUCAUUGUUUUUCUGGUUUGAUAGUAGCAUCGUGCCACCUGCCUCAGGCCUAAGGGCAUUUGAGGUUGCGGAGAGAAGAUCAGAUCAAAAGUUACAAAACGUACCUGGCAAUUAAGCUGUGGUCAUGUGAAAUCCUCCAAGCCUCUGAGAUAGGGGUGAAGCUUAUGGCUCUCCAGGAUUGCUGAUGUCUGUGAGCCAAAGAAGGAAGAACACCCUGAGGCAGGGGCUGACCGAUCUGCCCACAGCUGAUGGGCUGGGAACUUGCCGGUGGAUCCUUCCCCUCUCCAAAUGGUGAAUUGUAAAUAUAAGCACAAAGAGGAAGCAGCAAUGAGCAUUUCCUCUGUCGCUCAUCUUCAAUAAAACCACAGACUCCUUUUGCAGCUCCUUUCUGCUCUUCUCCCUGGCUGGCUGAGGGAUCACUGUGCAUCUGUCACUGUACUUACUAGAAUUUGCCCCUUCUCCUAUAAUAAAGGAUGAGUAUUCUCAGCCCCUUCUCCACCUCCUUCUAUGAAAGUGGUGUUUCCGACAGAUAAGAAUCUGCAAGCCUGAAAGGUGGGUCUCCAAGCUGCAGGUGGAGCCAUGAUCUCCCUCCUGUUGGGAUACUUGAAAAACCAUGUUUAUCCCGGAAGUCCCUGUGGCUCCAGGAUCUCCUGUCUGGACCAGAUCCUUGCAGCAGCGUUUCUCCUCAGGCAAAUCUUGGAGACAAUUUGCCCAGACUCAACACCAGUUCGUGCAAGCAGCUGGGAGGGAGGCUGUACCCUGCAAAACCACAGGGGUGGAGCUGUCCAAGACCAUGGGAACCCGUCUCUUACAUCACCAUAACCUGCAUAUGAGACAUAGAGUCAAAGGAGAACAUUUGGGAACUUUGAGAUUUGACUGCCCUGCUGGAUUUUGAACUUGCAUGGGGCCUAUAGCCUCUUUGGGCCAAUUUCUCCCAUUUGGAAUGGCUGUGUUUACCUACUGCCUGUACCCCCACUGUAUCUAAGAAGUAACCUGCUUUUGAUUUUACAGGCUCAUAGGUGGAAGGAACUUGCCUUGUCUUGGAUGAGAUUUUGGACUGUGAACUUUUGAGUUAAUGCUGAAAUGAGUUAAGACUUUGGGGGACUUUUGGGAAGGCAUGAUUUGUUUUGAAGUGCAAGAACAUGAGACUUGGGAGGGGUUGGGGUGGAAUGAUGUGGUUUGGCUGUGUCCCCAUCCAAAUCUCAUCUUGAAUUCCCACCUGUUGUGGGAGGGACCUGAUGGAAGGUAAUUGAAUCAUGGGGGCAAGUCUUUCUUGUGCUGUUCUAAUUAUGGGGAAUAAGUCUUAUGAGAUCUGAUGGUUUUAAAAAGAGGAGCGCCCCUGCACAAACUCUCUCUCCUUGCCUGCUGCCAUCCAUGUAAGAUGUGACUUGCUCCUCCUUGACUUCCACCAGGCUUGUGAGGCUUCCCAGCUACAUGGAACUAUAAGUCCAAUUAAACCUCUUUCUUUUCUAAAUUGUCCAGUCUCAGGUAUAUCUUUAUCAGCAGCAUGAAAAUGGAC
RNAcentral lists this long non-coding RNA (1606 nucleotides) under Callithrix jacchus (white-tufted-ear marmoset). RNAcentral describes it as "lncRNA (ENSCJAG00000073942.1)". The record is from RNAcentral. Lineage: Eukaryota; Metazoa; Chordata; Mammalia; Primates; Cebidae.